GGGGGGCGCGGACACGCGUGGUGUGCGCGGUCCCCGUGCAGCCCGCCCUGCCGCAGGCUGCCCUCCACCCCCAGCCCCAGCUCCAGCCCCCAGCCCGUCCCCACUGCUCAUAUCCGAGCAGAUAGACCCCGGCCCCACCCUCCCGUGCUGAGCCUCCUUUCUGCCGGGAAGUUCGUCCGGGAGUCAAACAUCGCUGCCCUCCGGUUGCGCCACGGAGGGGGAGCCAGGAUAGGAAGCUGCCGUGAAAUCAGGAAGCUGAGCGCGCCGGGCCCCGGAUCCGAACAGAAAAGGCUUCCACCCGCUCCCCUGAGGGAUCCCACGCUGAGGGACUGAACCCCGCACCCCAGCCGCGCUCACCACCCCCACCCUCUCGCCUGGGCUGCUCUGACCUGGGGUUCACUUUCUGAAGAUGAUUCUGAAGAAGAGGAGGAAUUGGAAGAGGAAUCCGAGCCUUCUGAAUGAGUUGGUUUCUUCCUUUUUUUCUCAAAAACUUUUAAGAAACAUUAAUAAAAACAUUAGUACUAAAUUCAGUGCCUACCUUUCAGAGUAAAAAAUGUGAUUACUGAAUAUCAUAAAAUAUGCUUUACAUACAGCAAACAAAAAAUGAAAUGUAGACAGUUUUUUUCAAGUUUAUAAUAAAAUUACUGGCAAGAUUGUAAGGUA
Molecule: long non-coding RNA, 663 nt
Organism: Homo sapiens (human)
Lineage: Eukaryota; Metazoa; Chordata; Mammalia; Primates; Hominidae
Gene: ZBTB47-AS1
Product: ZBTB47 and NKTR antisense RNA 1
Source: Ensembl